RNAcentral lists this ribosomal RNA (460 nucleotides) under uncultured bacterium. RNAcentral describes it as "partial 16S ribosomal RNA". It matches the Rfam family "Bacterial small subunit ribosomal RNA", at positions 338 to 795 of the family's 1533-position model. The record is from RNAcentral.
CCUACGGGGGGCUGCAGUGAGGAAUAUUGGUCAAUGGACGCAAGUCUGAACCAGCCAUGCCGCGUGCAGGAUGACGGCUCUAUGAGUUGUAAAUUGCUUUUGUACGAGGGUAAACCCCGAUACGUGUAUCGUGUGGAAAGUAUCGUACGAAUAAGGAUCGGCUAACUCCGUGCCAGCAGCCGCGGUAAUACGGAGGAUCCGAGCGUUAUCCGGAUUUAUUGGGUGUAAAGGGUGCGUAGGCGGUUUGAUAAGUUAGAGGUGAAAUGUCGGGGCUCAACCCAGAAACUGCAUCUAAUACUGUUAGACUAGAGAAUAGUUGCGGUAGGCGGAAUGUAUGGUGUAGCGGUGAAAUGCUUAGAGAUCAUACAGAACACUGAUUGCGAAGGCAGCUUACCAAACUAUAUCUGACGUUGAGGCACGAAAGCGUGGGUAGCAAACAGGAUUAGAUACCCGAGUAGUC